UAUGCAGAACUUUCCAGCGCUUUUCCUCCUUGUUCCUGACCCAGAAUCUUCUAACUGUCCCCCUUCCAGGCUCAGGCAGAUGGUGAUCAAUCCACACAUUCCAUAAUCCCAGCAAUAAAAGAUACUGUGGGUUAGACUUACAGUCCAUCAUACCCAGGACUACAGUUCCCUUGAUGUCUAGCCACAUAAAUUCUUCGAGAAGACAAAAACUUCCUAUGCAGUGGACGUAGUUGGAAACAGGCAGCUUGUCACACUUAAACGUCACAUAUUAUGCUGAGUGAAUCAGAAUGGACCAAAGGUUGUUGCUGAGAGUCGUCAUCACUGAAGAUGAUAUAAGGAAGGUGACUUUAAAUGAGAGACCACAGUCUAUUGAAGAAUUAAAAGUGCAACUGGUGGACAAACUGUCACUGCAGUAUGACUUUAAACUGCAGUAUGAAGAUCAAGACUUCCAUAAUGCCCUUUGCAAUUUGACUGAAAUAACUGAUUUACCUGAAAGAGCUACACUCAAAAUCAUCCCUCUUGUGA
Molecule: long non-coding RNA, 525 nt
Organism: Centropristis striata (black sea bass)
Lineage: Eukaryota; Metazoa; Chordata; Actinopteri; Perciformes; Serranidae
Exons: 4
Source: RefSeq, a predicted model, not a curated record